This 467-nucleotide ribosomal RNA is filed under the name uncultured bacterium. Its description in RNAcentral is "partial 16S ribosomal RNA". It matches the Rfam family "Bacterial small subunit ribosomal RNA", at positions 28 to 507 of the family's 1533-position model. The record is from RNAcentral.
GAUGAACGCUGGCGGCGUGCUUAACACAUGCAAGUCGAACGGUGAAGCAGAGCUUGCUCUGUGGAUCAGUGGCGAACGGGUGAGUAACACGUGAGCAACCUGCCCCUGACUCUGGGAUAAGCGCUGGAAACGGCGUCUAAUACUGGAUAUGAGCUGCGACCGCAUGGUCAGCAGUUGGAAAGAUUUUUCGGUCUGGGAUAGGCUCACGGCCUAUCAGCUUGUUGGUGAGGUAAUGGCUCACCAAGGCGUCGACGGGUAGCCGGCCUGAGAGGGUGACCGGCCACACUGGGACUGAGACACGGCCCAGACUCCUACGGGAGGCAGCAGUGGGGAAUAUUGCACAAUGGGCGAAAGCCUGAUGCAGCAACGCCGCGUGAGGGAUGACGGCCUUCGGGUCGUAAACCUCUUUUAGCAGGGAAGAAGCGAAAGUGACGGUACCUGCAGAAAAAGCGCCGGCUAACUACGUG